This 773-nucleotide ribosomal RNA is filed under the name uncultured Neocallimastigales. RNAcentral's name for it is "partial large subunit ribosomal RNA". It matches the Rfam family "Eukaryotic large subunit ribosomal RNA", at positions 26 to 638 of the family's 3401-position model. The record is from RNAcentral. Lineage: Eukaryota; Fungi; Neocallimastigomycota; Neocallimastigomycetes; Neocallimastigales.
CGCAUCUGUGCAUGCAGUAUAUCAAUAAGCGGAGGAAAAGAAACUAACAAGGAUUCUCUUAGUAACGGCGAGUGAAGCGGGAAGAGCUCAAAUUUGAAAUCUUCAAGGUUUUACCUUGACGAAUUGUAGUUUAAAGAAGUGUUUUCUGUUGAAGUUUUGGUAAAAGUUCUUUGGAAUAGGACAUCAUAGAGGGUGAGAAUCCCGUAUUUGACCAUUAUUUUCAGCUGUGUGAUACACUUUCAAAGAGUCGGAUUGUUUGGGAAUGCAGUCCAAAAUGGGUGGUAAAUUUCAUCUAAAGCUAAAUAUUGGCGAGAGACCGAUAGCGAACAAGUACCGUGAGGGAAAGAUGAAAAGAACUUUGAAAAGAGAGUUAAACAGUACGUGAAAUUGUCAAAAGGGAAGCGUUUGACACCAGUGUCGUUUUCUCGAAAAUCAAUUAAAAAGAGUUAGAUUUUGUUGUGUAUUGACCUUAACAGCUUGCAUUUCAAUUUUCUUGCUUUUUUUAAUGCACUUUUCGUUUAACAAGUCAACAUCAGUUUCUUUUGUUGUAAAAAGGUCAUUGGAAGGUGGCUUUCUUUUCGGAGAAAGUGUUUAUAGCCUUUGACUCCUGCAAUCGGAGAGACUGAGGUCUGCAGCGUAGAUCCUUCGGGGUUAGAUACAUUUGUGCUAAGUUAUAGCUUUUUAUAGACAACUUGUUGACUAUGAUUAGUCUUGUAGCUUACUCGCUUAUGCUAUUUUACCUACGCUUAGGAUGUUGAUGUGAUACUGCGAGC